GGGAGGUUGGCGGCGGACGUAUCCCUCGCCAACCGGGUCAGGUCCGGAAGGAAGCAGCCCUAACGAUCAGGACACGGGUCACUGACCAGCCUCCCGCU
RNAcentral lists this signal recognition particle RNA (98 nucleotides) under Hyphomicrobiaceae bacterium. Its description in RNAcentral is "signal recognition particle sRNA small type". It matches the Rfam family "Bacterial small signal recognition particle RNA". Rfam says of the family: The signal recognition particle (SRP) is a universally conserved ribonucleoprotein involved in the co-translational targeting of proteins to membranes. Archaeal SRP consists of a 7S RNA and homologues of the eukaryotic SRP19 and SRP54 proteins. In most bacteria, the SRP consists of a 4.5S RNA and the Ffh protein (a homologue of the eukaryotic SRP54 protein). RNAcentral also lists the same sequence under 1 other name. The record is from RNAcentral. Lineage: Bacteria; Pseudomonadati; Pseudomonadota; Alphaproteobacteria; Hyphomicrobiales; Hyphomicrobiaceae.